AUGGCGAGAUGCUGCCUGCUGCUCCUCUUCUGGGCGUUCCUCUGGCCGGCGGCCAGCGCGGUGCCGUGUCACCCCGACGACCUUCGCUCGCUGCGGGGUUUCGCCGGAGACCUCAGCGGCGGGGCCGUCCUGCUCCGCACCGCAUGGUCCGGCGCCUCGUGCUGCAGCUGGGAAGGUGUGGGCUGCGAUGGCACCAGCGCUCGCGUCACGGUGCUGCGGCUCCCCUCGCGCGGCCUCACGGGGCCCAUCCCAGGAGCCUCUCUAGCCGGCCUCGUGUGGCUGGAGGAACUCUUCCUCGGCUCAAACUCUUUCAUGGGCGUCCUCCCAGACGCGCUCUUCGGGCUCGCUAGGCUAAGGAAGCUUUCACUCGCAUCCAACGAGCUCACCGGCCAGCUGAGCUCACGCUUCGGGGAGCUCACACACCUCACCUUGUUGGAUUUGUCCACCAACCGCUUCUUCGGCCGCCUCCCGGACGUGUUCGACGAUCUCACGUCGCUAGAGCAUUUGGCCGCACACUCCAAUGGCUUCUCCGGCUUCCUGCCGCCGUCUCUGUCAUCACUAUCAUCUCUUCGUGGGCUCAACCUCCGGAACAACACCUUGUCCGGCCCGAUUGCUCGUGUUAGCUUCUCCGGCAUGCCACUUCUUGCUUCCGUUGACUUCUCCACAAACUACCUGACUGGGUGGCUCCCGGCCAGCCUUGCGGGCUGUGGCGAGCUCAAGUCGCUCAACCUUGCCAACAACACAUUGGUUGGCACCAUCCCGUCGUGGAUUGGUGAGUUUGACCACCUUUGGUACUUGAAUCUCUCAAAUAAUUCAUUCGUUGGCGAGGUACCCAAAAGUUUGUUACGGCUCAAGGGCCUCGCCACCGCGGGUCGUUCAUCGGGUAUGGUUUUCACUAACAUGCUAUUGUAUGUAAAUGACAAAAGAAGAGCACUCAAUGAACAACCAAAUACCAUAACUGGGAGCAACAACACUGUCAAAUCUGGGCGCAACAACAGCAUGUCUGGGAAUGAUAACACUGUCAUAUCCGGAGACAACAACGCUGUGUCUGGGAGCUUCAACACCCUUGUAUGUGGGGACAACAAUGUUCUAACUGGGGACCACCAUGUCGUAUCUGGGAGCAACCAUAUUGUAACUAACAGCUACAAUAAAGUAUCUGGGUGCACCAAUAAUGUAUCCGGGAGCCACCAUACCGUAUCCGGUAGCAACAAUGCCGUAUCUGGAAGCAACAAUACGGUAUCUGGGAGCAACCAUGUCGUAUCCGGGAGCAACAAAAUUGUAACCGACGGUUAA
RNAcentral lists this ribosomal RNA (1293 nucleotides) under Triticum aestivum (bread wheat). Its description in RNAcentral is "partial small subunit ribosomal RNA". The record is from RNAcentral. Lineage: Eukaryota; Viridiplantae; Streptophyta; Magnoliopsida; Poales; Poaceae.